GCCCUGGCCGGGCGGUCUGCCUCACGGUAUGUACUGUCUGGCUGGGGCUUACCUCUUGGUGAGCUCGCAUGCCGUUUAUUCGGUGUGUGAGGGAACCAGGACUUUUACUUUGAAGAAAUCAGAGUGUUCAAAGCAGGCUUAUGCCCGAAUGUGUUAGCAUGGAAUAAUAGAAUAGGACGA
Molecule: ribosomal RNA, 180 nt
Filed under: uncultured Glomeromycotina
Lineage: Eukaryota; Fungi; Glomeromycota
Description: partial small subunit ribosomal RNA
Source: RNAcentral